UAGAGGACUACAUAAAGAAACUUCAGGU
RNAcentral lists this non-coding RNA (28 nucleotides) under Mus musculus (house mouse). The record is from RNAcentral. Lineage: Eukaryota; Metazoa; Chordata; Mammalia; Rodentia; Muridae.